CCUACGGGGGGCAGCAGUGAGGAAUAUUGGUCAAUGGACGAGAGUCUGAACCAGCCAAGUAGCGUGAAGGAUGACUGCCCUAUGGGUUGUAAACUUCUUUUAUAUGGGAGUAAAAUGUUCCACGUGUGGGAUUUUGUAUGUACCAUAUGAAUAAGGAUCGGCUAACUCCGUUCCAGCAGCCGCGGUAAUACGGAGGAUCCGAGCGUUAUCCGGAUUUAUUGGGUUUAAAGGGAGCGUAGGUGGAUUGUUAAGUCCGUUGUGAAAGUUUGCGGCUCAACCGUAAAAUUGCAGUUGAAACUGGCAGUCUUGAGUACAGUAGAGGUGGGCGGAAUUCGUGGUGUAGCGGUGAAAUGCUUAGAUAUCACGAAGAACUCCGAUUGCGAAGGCAGUUCACUGGACUGCAACUGACACUGAGGCUCGAAAGUGUGGGUAUCAAACAGGAUUAGAUACCCUUGUAGUC
RNAcentral lists this ribosomal RNA (460 nucleotides) under uncultured bacterium. Its description in RNAcentral is "partial 16S ribosomal RNA". It matches the Rfam family "Bacterial small subunit ribosomal RNA", at positions 338 to 795 of the family's 1533-position model. The record is from RNAcentral.